Long non-coding RNA from Micropterus salmoides (largemouth bass), 1377 nucleotides. RefSeq lists it as uncharacterized. The record is from RefSeq and is a predicted model, not a curated record. NCBI's taxonomy places the organism in Eukaryota, Metazoa, Chordata, Actinopteri, Centrarchiformes, Centrarchidae. The transcript has 2 exons.
AUGUUCCUUGGUUCUUUGGUUUGUACAAGCGACAUAACAGCUCUCAUCUGGUGAAAAUACUGUUAAAAUACCUCGCUGUUAAUUUAAGUGACAUUUAAAGAGAGAACAAAUGGUGAAAAUGUUGCUUACUCUGAGGCUAAAGCCAGGGAUCAAACUUAUUUAUUAGCUUUAUUUUAUUGAAACACCCCCCCCAAUAAAUUCUGGUUGUCAUUUGAUGUUCAGUUUUGGGUGGUGGGGGUGUAACGAUGCCUAUUAAUCAGCUAAACGAUCAACAACUGGGAUCUCAGGCAAAGAUUUCUGGCAUGUCAGAAAUUUUGGUUGGCUGUGUUACAAUUUGAGCAGUUGGCUGCUGUCCCAAGAUCAGUAAUAAACUGUAGUCAGCUUGUUUGGACAUUUUUGGAGUAAUAUUUUGCAUGUUGUGAUUAAAAGUUCUGACUGAGACUGUGCUGAGAGAUAAAACUGAACUUCGUUGCUGAGCAGAAACCAUAUUGUCAGCCAACUGCGGCAAGAGUUUUCUUUUUUCUUGUUACUUUCAGUUUAUGAUAGAAUUGCAAAGAAGUCAUGUUGCCUUUCUUUCCCUUUUCAACAUUAUUGAGGAGGAUUGUGUAAAUAAACUUUAUUGGAUUCUAUGAGAAGAACCGACUGGGAAUUUUGUGCUUGAGUUCUGUGUGAGUUUCACUCUGUGGCCACUCAAUUGAUCCGUACAGUGUGAUAUCAUACAUUAUUAAAUAUAAAUGCACAGUUGUAGCUCAGAUUUUAAGAUGACACGAUAAUUAAGUCUUUGCUAUGCCACACCCUGAAUACGCAGCUGUCUAAUCACAGCGCAGUAUAUAUUUGACAUUUUCAUGGCAGUGACCAGUAUGAGGGAGUGUGAGACAAUAACACCAAAUUUAACACACCUGCUCCCUAUUCACGCCUGAGACCUUAUAACACUAACGAGUCACAUGACACUGGGGAGGGAAAAUGGCUAAUUGGGCCAGUUUGGACAUUUUCACUGAAUUUUACACAAACUGCAAAUUAAUAAUUGUUCAUAUUGCAGCAGUAAAGAAGAAAUGUCGAGGAGGAACUUAUGAGAAAGCAAUCUGAUACACGCAGAACAGCAGAAGAAGGAUGAAUACCCAAGAAAUUUUGGCAUGAGUGAGGGAGAAUCUGAUGGGGGAGAGAUAACGGUGGCCAUGAGUCCGCAAGUUUGUUGAGUUAAACUUUGAUUUUAACUUUUGUUAAAGCCUAUUAAAUGUUCUUCUUCUAGAAUAGGCCUAAUAGAAUUAUAGAUGUGUUCAUUAUGUUGCUGUUUGUUGUAGCCCACAGUUUACUGAUUCAUUUUAAAAUGUAGGCAAUUAGACUAUAUUGUGAAAUUAUUAAACCCCAUAACUGCCA